Long non-coding RNA from Oreochromis niloticus (Nile tilapia), 1461 nucleotides. RefSeq lists it as uncharacterized. The transcript is spliced from 3 exons. The record is from RefSeq and is a predicted model, not a curated record. NCBI's taxonomy places the organism in Eukaryota, Metazoa, Chordata, Actinopteri, Cichliformes, Cichlidae.
GUUUCGGGCAGCUCACGGCGGACAUGCCAUAGUUCGUGCUGAUGGAGUAGGAAGUGUUACAAACAGCUGAUUGGAUCGGCAAAGCGUGUUUCUGGAAUAUUAUGUUUUUGUUGCUGCAAGCGCUUUUUAUGCAGUUUUUGCAAAGCUAUAUGUGGAAGGAAACCGUGACCUAGGACAAGCUGAUGGCAUAAAAUAUUUGUGGAGGGGAAUUGGAAGCAGGAAAUCGCUGCACGUCAGCAGCAGAUGGUCUACAACAGCAGACUACAUCAGGUCCCACUCCUGUCAACUAAGACAGCACAGACUCACCAAAAUUGGAAAUUAGAAGACUGGAAAAACAAUAUGAGCAACAUUCAGAAGGUAGGGUCAGAAUUUUGCAUAAAAAACACGAAAGUGUGUCUCCGUCAUGCCUCGUUCAGGCAGUUUUGCUAUACUAUUGGCUGUAAAUUACUUCAGGUGAAUGGAAUGUCUCUAAAUGCUCAUCUCAGCCAAAAAGCUAAGGAUUUUUUUUAAAACUGUGAAUCAUGCAAAACCGCUCUGGUAAAAUGCAGGAAUUGUUUUAAAAAAGGGAAAUGAGCAUAAUAAGUUCCCUUUGACAAUAUUUUGUCACAAAUUAUUAUGAUCCUACUUUAAGUCUAAUCUCUGUACUCAAGUAAUUACACUAAGUCAUGCAAAUGUUUUGUGUUUGUUCUUGACAAGGAAGCACGUUUUCUUUCUGGCUGCUUCUCUGUGGUCUGACCAGAAACUAACUCAUCCUUAUUCUAGAAAGUGAACCACAACAUGUGGCAACAGAGCCCACAAACAUGCGCUCAUUCCUCUUGAGGGGAAACUAGCAACUGAAAAAAACAGAGAUAGAAAGAGAGAAAGUCCCAGUGUUCCUCUCCACAUCCAUUUGUCUUUGGACUACAUUCCUACUCCUCUUCCUCAAAUGAAAUGGUUAUCCCUGCAAACAAUGAGAAGACUGAGCUGCAGGAGCAUCUGCAGCAUGUGAAGUGGGACAUGAAACAAAAAUUGGCUCACAAGGUCGAGGUCAACUUCAGCAUCAGCACAUUCUUUGAGCCAAGGCGUUGGAGAGAAAGCAGGCGCGAACUGAAAAUGGCCCUAGUCUCUUCCUAACAUGCUUUUAUUUCCCACAUACUUCGUGAUCAGCAGGCCUCAGUAUGUUAUCAGGUAAUACUGAGACAAACAGCUGCUUACGUGCUGAAAUGUGGAUGUAUUAUUUGAGUAAAGCAUUACACAUGAAUCAGAAGAACAAUACAUUUUGACCAAUAGGCUAACAAUUAAAGUAAACUCAUCAGUAUUAAAAAUACAGCUGGAAAGGUGAACUGUUCCUACUUUAAGAGCAAGUGCAGGCAGAUAUGUUGCGAAAUGUAUUUACCAUCAUAAUUAAAUACAAAAAGAAAGAAUGUGCAGAAAAAAUCUGAACUCUAAACUCACACCUAUGAUAUUAAUUUAAAAAUCAUA